This is a long non-coding RNA of Mesocricetus auratus (golden hamster), 1096 nucleotides long. RefSeq lists it as uncharacterized. Lineage: Eukaryota; Metazoa; Chordata; Mammalia; Rodentia; Cricetidae. The record is from RefSeq and is a predicted model, not a curated record. The transcript is spliced from 3 exons.
GUAAUUUAAGGAGAGCAACCCUCCUCAGGGGCAGUAGGCAGACAAAGCUCCACCGAAUGUCUUCUUGCUGUGGAAGGAAGAGUGACUGCUGGACCUUAAGGGGGACGGGUCCUGGAGCAUUGGAACCCAGUAUGACAUUCAGAAGAAAAAUCAGCCUUAGAUUUGGAAAUGGUUGGUGGGGGGAUGGUGGUGACAGAGACACUGAGUUGACAUGGUGAAUGCAUGUGAGAGGUUUGAGAACCUAAGGGGAAACGUUAAGUUGAAAAGUCGUUAAGGAUCAGAGGAGAGAGAGAAAGACUGCUGUGAAGUUUGUAACUUGUAAGCCAGUGUGAGGCUAGUUCAGUGCCUAGGAUAUGCUUCAUAAAUGCCAUGGAAGAAACGAAGAAGGGUGUUGAAGAGGAGGAAGAAUGCCAUGAGAGUAGAGAGACGCAAGCCCAGCAGUUCAGAGCGGGGUGACCGAAGACACAGAUAGCUCAUGGUGGCCGAAAUGGGAGGUCGCUCACACCAGAGUUUAACCUCAUCGUGCAAUUGCAAAAAACAGCCCCGGUUGAGACCUUUUCCAGACGUGGGAGCCCAAGGAUGGAGAGAGUUAUCUAAAGCCGUUGCUAUUUCAGUCCAGAACUUGAAGUUAAAAAUGUUCAAAUGGAAAAAAAAGUUUAAAAAUAUAGAUGUGUAUUUUUCUAAAACCCCAUUAAGCUGUCAAAGGCUCUCGCUGUGUGUUUCCUUUCCCAUCGUUGCUAAUCGGCAAGGUAUGUGUGUGCCCCAAACAGCAAAGUGGCCCUCCGUUUCCUCUUCUUCACCCUCCAGUUACACCUCCCACCCCUGACCCUCCUCCUUCCAUUGCUUAUACUUAAUCUAUUCCCCAGCCUCAGGGACCUAGCAGCUUAAUCUCCGCUCCCUGGAGAGACUGCUAAAGGGAACAGCAGCCCUGCUUCUGCCUAGAGGCUGGGACGCCCACUGCAGACUCUGUGGUGCAUCUACACUGCCUGAGCAGCUGACUCUGUGGUCUACACUGCCUGAGCAGCAGAAAGCAUCACUUUUCAGCUCUGAGAGCCUUAUUGCGCUGGGUUCCAGGUUCUUCUUGUGUAGAGUGAGA